Molecule: unclassified non-coding RNA, 336 nt
Filed under: soil metagenome
Description: partial contains 5.8S ribosomal RNA, internal transcribed spacer 2, and large subunit ribosomal RNA
Rfam family: 5.8S ribosomal RNA (bases 1-120)
Source: RNAcentral
GAUGAAGAACGUAGCGAAAUGCGAUAAGUAGUGUGAAUUGCAGAAUUCAGUGAAUCAUCGAAUCUUUGAACGCACAUUGCGCCCCUUGGUAUUCCAUGGGGCAUGCCUGUUCGAGCGUCAUUUGUACCUUCAAGCUUUGCUUGGUGUAGGGUGUUUGUCUCGCCUUUGCGUGUAGACUCGCCUUAAAAUAAUUGGCAGCCGGCGUAUUGAUUUCGGAGCGCAGUACAUCUCGCGCUUUGCACUCAUAACGACAGCGUCCAAAAGUACAUUUUACACUCUUGACCUCGGAUCAGGUAGGGAUACCCGCUGAACUUAAGCAUAUCAAUAAGCGGAGGA